This 442-nucleotide ribosomal RNA is filed under the name uncultured soil bacterium. Its description in RNAcentral is "bacterial SSU rRNA". It matches the Rfam family "Bacterial small subunit ribosomal RNA", at positions 26 to 518 of the family's 1533-position model. The record is from RNAcentral.
AGAACGAACGCUGGCGGCAUGCCUAACACAUGCAAGUCGAACGAGACCUUCGGGUCUAGUGGCGCACGGGUGCGUAACGCGUGGGAACCUGCCCUUAGGUUCGGAAUAACUCAGAGAAAUUUGAGCUAAUACCGGAUAAUGUCUUCGGACCAAAGAUUUAUCGCCUAUGGAUGGGCCCGCGUAGGAUUAGCUAGUUGGUGGGGUAAAGGCCUACCAAGGCGACGAUCCUUAGCUGGUCUGAGAGGAUGAUCAGCCACACUGGGACUGAGACACGGCCCAGACUCCUACGGGAGGCGGCAGUGGGGAAUAUUGGACAAUGGGCGAAAGCCUGAUCCAGCAAUGCCGCGUGAGUGAUGAAGGCCUUAGGGUGUAAAGCUCUUUACCGGAUGAUAAUGACAGUACCGGAGAAUAAGCUCCGGCUAACGUCCGCGCCAGCAGCCGC